Molecule: long non-coding RNA, 12972 nt
Organism: Chroicocephalus ridibundus (black-headed gull)
Lineage: Eukaryota; Metazoa; Chordata; Aves; Charadriiformes; Laridae
Exons: 9
Source: RefSeq, a predicted model, not a curated record
GUGGAGUGUUGGAGGUGAAGAAGUGCACGUUCAUCCUCUUUGCCUUUCUCGUGAGGACAGGUACGACGCGGUCACUCAGCACUGAACAUGUUGCCAGAUCUCCUUUUGGCAGCUGGAUGAGAAGGGAAUGCCACCACAAAGGAAGGAAGACUGAGGCGAGGUUCAAGUUGUAUUCAGAGGGAACACAAGUGCUGUGCAUUACACGUCACCACCACGACAGAACUGUGUUUGGGGAAAUCAAGAACUGAACAGAUCCUUUUUUAUUUCCACUCAUUUUCAGGGUGGUUCUUCCCAAACAAAGAUAAGCAGCCAGAAUACGUUCCUUGAAGAGUUGGGCCUAGCAAUAUGGCAGCGCACUUUCGAUAAGAAAUCUUGUAAAAUGCUGCUACUGAGGACCACGUGCUCCCUGACCCAUUGCCUUGACCGCUGCACAAUUAUUGCAGGGCCAGAGCUUUCUGAAUUCUGGGUGCUCCGAAAUUGCAGUCAGGAUCCAACAUAAAAGUUGUCCUGAUUUUUCAAAGAUGCCGAACCCCUGCGGCUACGCUUCUUGGUAGGAAUUUUGGGUGCUGAAAACCUUGGAAAAGCUGGACGCUUUUAAGCGUUCGAGCAGCGCAAUGUGUAACAUUCCUAAAAAGCACCAUGGCAACAUAUCAGUGUUAUUGCCUUCGCGGUCAGCAAUCAGAAGUCUCCAAAGGUAACAUGAAAAGCAUCCUGUAUUGUGUCUGUUAUUGAGAUGUGUGAGCAGGUUUCCCUUGCCGUUAGUCUUUGACUGGCUCAUUUAGUUCUAUGCCAGGAGUUAAACAAGGCUGUGCCCUGUAUGAGACCUGGCACGCUCAUUGUCUCUCAGGAAGCGUAGGAGGCUGGUGCUGAUGCUUCCAGAUAAAGCCUGUAAGGGUUUUUGUGAAAGUACCUAAAUCUACACAGUCCUCAGGAGAGCUGUUCUUAGGGAGUAUCUGUUAGUGAUUAUGGCCAGCUAAAAUGGCGAUUCGUAAGGUUUUUUUCCCAGGCUUGUACAGUUAAAUUAGGUGUUUCCAAGGCUGAUGCUCCUGGACACCUCCAGUAGAGGUGAUUUGCUUUUCCCUCACAGCAGUUUGGAUUCAGGAGCUGUGGAGCCACCCCAGAUUUUGUAGAGAAGCUGUGCGGAGAAUGGGCAUGUGGUGAGCCUGCCAUCCUGGGCAGAAGACCACAUUUCUCAUGUAUCUUACGUGUCUGAAAUGCAGGGAAUAUACCUGAUAUACCCAGCUGAUAUUGAUAUCUACAGUUUAAUUUGCCUAACUAUUUGAGGCUUAAAAAAACUUCUGAAACUCUGGUUUCGUUUAUCUAGUAAAGUUUAAACAUAAGUCAAGGUCUUCAUGGUGGCUUUGUUCAGGGUUCAGUGUCCCCUGGCUGCCUGGAUGAAGAUGGUGGCUCAUCAUUGCGCCUGAUCAGGGCCCCAAACAUGAGCUAUGUUGCAUCUUUUGACUGUAUAUAUGACUAAUUCUGGCAAGAGUUUUUGAGUUGCCAGAAAUAAGAGAGUCUGUUUGCUAGUGGGUAAACUUUCUAAGUUAGCAAGUAAAAGUUAGGGGUAGGCACAGGGUUCAUUUCAUUAGUCUAAUCAAAAAGUGUGACAAUGGUAACAAUAUGUCAAAGUAUCUAAAUAACGCAGAAAAAUGUUUUUCUGGUAAAAUGGCAUUUAAAAACUUUAAUAUCUGCAAAUCCUUGUUUACUGAAUGCAAAGAGAAGUUGUUGGUUUCUUGAGUGUUACCCAGUGCUCAACUGUUAGUUGUUCAAAGAGUGGAUUAGCGGGAUUUUAUUUCAUCUUGUUUUCAAGGAGGUUAUAGAUAUCACUGCCAUGGUUUUAAUUCCGUGAUUCCUUAGGACAAGGCAAGUAUCAGGGCUAACACAACGCUGCUUCUGUGUUUCUUGAAGGUAAAGGCAUUAAAUGCAGGUAGUUAAAAAAGAGGGGUCUUUUUGGCACAUUUUAGGUAGUACCUUAUUUCCCCCCCACACCAUCUUUUUGCAGAUUUAAGUGCAAAUUUUCAGCUGUAAAUCCACAAGCUGCAUUGACUCACAGCCAGUGCUGAGCUGGUCCAUAAGGGUUGAUUCUGCUCCCCCCCCCGUUUGGUACUUCUCUAGGAAUAGCUUUACAAAUGGGUGGUAAUAAGUCCCUAAUAAGAACAUUCUCAUCUCUUUUUUGGUGGUAGGAUUUCAGAUCUGCUUUGCACAGAUAUAAGGGAUCUUCAUAAGGUUCAAAAAUAGUGGAUAUUUGUACUAACACACACAUUUGUGGCUAUCAAACUUAACUUUAUGUUUAGUGUGUUAAUCAUAUAUGUAAAUCAAAUGAUCUAUUUUUCUCCAGAGAACAAGGAAUACUAAUUAGAAAGGAGAAUGGUCAGUGGUACAUUGAAGUUAACAAUAAACGCAAUUCAAUGUGCAUAUUUUUCUUCUGAACAAAAUAGCAUUCCAGCUCUCCCCCUGAUGAGAGGAAUGUAUUGUCAAUUAAUUAGACUUCCAUCAUAUGUCCUCGGAUGCCCUUCUAUCAUAUGCCUUCCAUAUGUCCUUAUGUCAUAUGCCUUCCAUAUGCCCUCUAUGUAAUUAAGCUUCUAUCAUAUGGCUUCUAUCAUAUGCCAUUUAAAUAGAUUUCCAGGAGAAUAUGGCAGUGUUACAAUUACGGACCUUUUGCAAUGAGUAAAGGAACAACUCAUGAGCUGUAGAUUAAAAAAGGAGGAAGCAAAAGGAAGGUGGCUCGCCCUGAAGAGUUCCUUUAAUUGCCAGUUUUGUUUCUCUCAGCUUGGGCAAUGAACGGAUAAAAGUGUCCUAUUUUCCUUGUUUCCCAUUACUGUUCCAUUCCCAGUUUUUAUUCAGUUAAGCCUGUGAAUAGUCGGAGAGAUAGCAACUGUUUUUUCAGAGAACGUUUCCACUGGAAUGUAAAAUGAAAAAGAAACAAUCCACCUCCCAGAAAAUUGUUUGUCCUACGAUAAUGAAAUGUAAACUUUGAUCUUGUUUUUGUCCCUUUAAGUCUGUAACGUAGAGUGAAGCACUAGAAUUAUCGUGGGGAGAGAAUUAAUGAACAUGAGAUGGUUUGCUUUACUUCAGCACGCAUCCCUGUUCUCCCUUAUGGACAAUGGGCGCAGAUAGUAUUGUGCUUUUCUUGGCAUGAUGAUUGCUUGGUAGAUAGUAUCCUAAUGUACAAGAAUAUGUGGUGAAAUAGAUUCCAAAUUUACUGUGACUUAUUAAGGAUAAAGCCCAAAAAUAGGCACUGAUGCUUAUAUACGUAAUGAAGAAAACUGCAAGCAUCCGAGGAAUGAUGAGGUCUUGGAAUGGUUUGCAAUGAAAAGACAGCCAGUGUGCUUGUUUGCCUUAUGUACAUUUGGGUAUCUCUGCCUUCUUUCUUCCCAGCAACUUCUGAGACCCCUUUUUUCUAAUCCCAGUCAGAUUUGAUAGAGGAGCGGUGAUGUCCGAGGCUAUUCUGCUCUAGCAAGCUUUACAGAAAUUACAGAAAUCACAGCCAUAUACCCAGCAGUCAGGAAGAAGGUUGAAAGGACAAAGAGAAGGUAAAAUAGAGUCCUAUGUGCUGAGGUGUCCAAACUAUGAAAUGGAGAGCAGUUUGUAGCGUCUGCCAGUUUACCUGGAUUAACUGGAUUGAAUGAAGUAAUGAGAACAGUUCAGACAGAUUCCCACUGGCUAGUAACCAGCGUGUCCCUGAGGACUUUGCACUCUAGUUGCUAGAGCAUGCUAAAACCCAUACCACCGUGACUUCACUGCCAGUUUUAUGUGCUCUGCCUAGAUUAAGGUAGAAUUUACCAAACAAUGGGCCUAUAUUUUGCUAUGUAGGCAUACUGCUAGCCACUGUUUGUGUUACAGAUGCAUUCCCAAAAGAUAGGUGACAGGUCUUAUUUUGGCUUUAUCUUUUUAUUUUCAACACAAUUUUCAUUUAAAACAUGCACACACACACACAAUAUAACCAGUCCAUCUGGAAGCUCUAGGUCAUGAGGGAAGUUAUUUUGAAAAAUUCUUGUUGUGGUCCUGCACCAUCAUUAGUUUGCUGGUGCCACAGUCGUAAACUGCACACUAAGGGAAGCCUUUAAGCCUCUUGUAGUGUACCACUGAAAUUAUCUGUCAAGAAUCACUACUAAAGUGUUGUAUUCAGAAAUCUGUUUUUUUUCUGGUGUGCUGGGCAGCAAGAAAAUACUUGCAAUAGCGCACUAUUGCAAAUUUUUCUUCUGCUUCUGUGUUUUCACAUGGCUGUGGGACUUGUGGAAGAUGGCAGCCUAACAGUCCUGAAGGAGGAGGAGCUCUGCUUAUCCACAAAGUCGGUACCCAACCACUUGUGACCUCCUAAGCUGAAACUCAGAAACUUUCACCGUUAGAGGGAUUUUUAUUUUUUUUAAUGAAACGAUGCCUUUCAUCUAUUUCCACACCCAACUGAAACUAUGCUGCAACACUUCGGCUGCUAAAUCAGAUGCGUUAAGUACAGUCAAAUUUGUACAUAAAAGUUUUGUAAGAACUGGGAUGAAAUAGAACGGAAUGCCAGAAUGACUCAUUGUUUAAUGAAUAAGGCCCUAAGUGUUCUAUUGAUGCCAUUUAUAAAUCUGUAUAAAAUGUAUAGAAUUCAUGUCAUAACUGGAAUUCCAAGCACAGCAACCUUGCGAGCUAAAUUAUGAUGAUGAUAGGGUACUGCACGAAUUAAUAUGAAUUCUAACACACUUCUGCUUGAAAGCUGCUCAGACAGUUAAAAAUAAGACAAUUCCAUUACACAGAUUCAAAGCCCAGACCUCAGAAAUGCUGCUACUCUUUCCUUUUGAAAUUGUAAAUUACUGAAGAAGGAAGUUCUUUUUGUGUGUGUUAGAGUCAAAAACUAUAACCUAUAAGGGAAACAGAUGUCCUUUCAAUUAGAUGUAGAUACUGCACAGUGCAAUAGGAAAAUAAAAGAAUUAGCUGGUAUAGACCAGCUCAAUAUUUGGAACUCUUCUAUUGGAAAUGAGCAGUCUGAGGCCAGAGCAGAGAUCUGAACACACAUCUCUUUUUGACUAACUUUUUCCUUCUCGUUCUUACUUUUCCCUUUUCAUAGCUUGGUGGCUCAGAUAUGAAACCAGGUGAAGUUCAACAUUUCCAGCGUGAGUUUUGGAGAUAUGUUCUAUAUCCGUUCAGACUUCAGUCCGAGACAAACUGUGGUGUUGGGCUACCAAGAUUUAACCUUGCGAUAAAAGCUUCCAGUCUAAACUGGAGCAGAAAGGAAAUCUGACAUUUGGAAAUUUCACAUAGCAGACGAAGAUCCAAAAUAUUUCAUUUGGUAACACCCCCCCUUUUUUUUUCCUUUCUUUUUUAAACAAGACAAAACUUCUAGUUGCCCUAUCUCCACUGAUGCUCCAGGCAGCCCCAGUUGCAUAUAUUUAGAUUUAUAUAUUCAAAACAUGAAAUGUACUCUCCCUGAGCAAAUAAUUUUUUACAUGCAAUAGGGUGAAAUUAGCCUCUUUGUGCAAUGUCAUGGCCCUGUUUCUUGGUUAAAUAAGUUCAAGAAUCAGGUUUCUGGGGCAGAUAGAGAAAGAAAUUGAAAUUCUGCAUUCCGUGUUAUAUGCAGUGGCUCCUCCUUCCCACCACCUCUCCCUGCUUCCUUCUCACAUUCGUAGAAUUUCCGCUCCAGUUAGGUGAUCCAAGAUUGUCUGAGGUGUACUCCAAAUGAAAUGCCACUGGCUAGAAAUAUUCCAGGCAAUUAUUUUCUUAAAAAGUAGGAGGGAGCUGCUGCUGCUAUGGAUGAAGUCACUUACCUACAGGGAAAGAGCUGUCAGCCCGUGGGUGGGGACCUUACCGCUGGCUGCAGGAUACCUGCUGGAGCUGCUCCCUGGCUCCUACCACCCGCCUUUCGAUGUACAACCACUUUUUCUUUUUUAAGAAAAAGUCCCCCCGCACUCAAGACCCCUUCUAAGAGUGCUGUUUAAGAGCAGUGUAGGUAUAGCCAAUAUAGAGUCUUUGAUUUCUGUUUUCAUCUAUGUUCUUGUAGGUUCCCGCGUUCAGGUAGCCAGACUACUGCGUUGUGCCACAGAGGAGCAAAUGUUGUGGUGCAGGGUUCUCCCUGGCCCCUCUCGGGUCAUGGAGGAUAAGUCCGCUUCAAGUGUGAGUCACCCUGCUGCCAUUUUUCCCUACACCCUUUGCCAAGGUCUGAUGACAAGACUGUGAUUUCUUUAAGCUUGUCUUUGUUACAGGUGUGACACACAGCUCAUAGGGUUUCAUUAUGGCUUUCAUAAUGUAUUAACGAAAUGUCAGGAUCAAGUCAUUUAUAAUUAACACUGACAUGUAAAUGUCAUGUCUAACAAUUGUAGUGUAAGAGUAUUUUUGUGAAUGGGCCAUUUUUUACACAUGCAACUCUCACUGUCCAAGAAAGCCAUAACCAGUCAGGCAAAGACAGAUAUUUUUUUGGUCUUUUGUUUACUCCUCAUUGAAUUCUUGAUAGGCAACUAGACCUUGUUGCCUGUUGUUCCUAGAUCCAUUGCAGAUAUAAAACUCAAGCCAUGAAUGGAGACUUUAUGAACAUUUUAGGGCUUGAUCCUAUUAUAAAUGUGGAGUGGAUAAACCCCUGCACAAUACUGAUGUGGAAUUCACAUAAGCACUGCCUGUAGUUUGGGGAGCAAAGACAGUAAGGUGUGCAGUGUAGGAGCUGUAUUAGCAAAUCUGAGGAGAGAAGAGUGGCUCAAGAAGUUGCCAGCAAAAAUUGUCCCAAGCAGGGAGAUAUCUGAAAUUGAUAUACUGGAACCAUUUCCGUUAGAAAGGAAAAACACACCGAUGUUAUAAUGAAAAAAAAGAAAGAAUGAGGAGGUAGACUGAGAAAUUCUCAUACUUUCACAAAGUGAAUACAAGGAGACAUGCAGUGAAAUUAAAUGGUGACAAAUUGAAAAUGUUUUAAAAAGCAAUUCUUUCCCACCAGUAUUUAAUUAAAAAAUGAACGUGAUUGCUUUUAGAAAUUAAUGGGAAGUUUGCAAGUCUAGAACAGAUUAGAUACUUAUGUUUUUAAUAACCAUACAUAGAAUUAUGGUAAUUCAUUAUAAUAACUUUAGAACGGAGUUUAGACUUCAUUUUUCAAGGUUUAGGGUGAAGUCUUUCAAGACAGCAAUUCAUGACCAGGGAAGAACCAGUGGGAAGGACAGCUCCUGGUUGUCUAAAGCUGCUAAUAUUUGUCGCUAUUGGAGAAGGUAUGUUAGAGAACUCUGGAUUCUGACCCAGUCUCUAUCUGGCUCCUGCAAAGGAUUGAGCACAGAAUUUGCCACGGAUAAAUAGAAGUGAAGGGUUGGUAGAUGUUUGGCCUUCAGUUGGGCUCGCAUAUUGAGUACCUGCAGCACAGUGGUAUUAAUUACCCAAUGGCACGGUCCAACUCCAGUUCCUUGCAGUUACCGUGUGCGGGGGGGCAGGGCUGCAUGACCACUGUCCGGAAGGGAAGGCAGAGGAAGGCGAAUGGCUUGUCCAAGGCCAGGCAGCACGUCACUGGAGGGGCUGUGUACAAAAGUCAGGUCAGUUGGAUUGCAGAUCUGGAUUCAAACAUAUGUUGUGACCUUUUUCUUCCUCAUUAAAUAUGUUUUUUGGAACCCCGGUGUUACCAGACGUAAUAAAAGCUUCAGAAACAGUGGGGAGGGAGGGUUACACCUGGUUCUGCUUUCACACCCGCUUUUCAGUAUGAAAGUAGAGCAGGUCUUCACCAUGCGAGAGUGUGUCAUACAGAUACUCUCAAGCUAUCAGUGCCUGCUGUGGGAUGUGAGGGGCUGAGGUGUGAUGCUGCACUAGCGACAGCCCAAAGGGCCUGAGCUGGCACUUCCAUGCAGUGCUGGCUGGAGAUCUGUGGUUGCAGCAGCUCAGGUUGGUGCGAGAUUUGGGGUCACUACAGUCAGUCCCCUGAAGAGUGUAGGCAGACCCUUUGUAUUCCUUAGCUUAAGUGAUAUUUAAGGAAUUGUUGUAAAUGGCGGGUCAAACCCAUUCCGGGACUAAUGCCACUGAUGUGGGUUUAUUUUAAAAGUUUAUAUUUCUUGUGUUUGAAGUGGCGUCUCAUCUCUUCUGACAAGGAAUAGCAGUUGUGGCAUCAGAGAGUGGUUUGCAAUAGUGGUGUUUGCAGUCUGUCAGAUGCCACAGCUUCCCUUUGGCUUUCCAUUUCCUUUCAUAAAUGAGGUUGUUAGAUCUGGAGGACAGGAUUUUAAAAAAAGAAUGAGGAAGAGAAAGAAAACCAGGAAGGAAAUGGGAAGGGAAGAAGGCAAGAUAGGACUGCUCUCUGCUACAGGUCUUGUGGUUAGAGAUGGUUUUGGAAAUUGCCCUUCCAAUAGCUUUUGAAAUGUGAAAGGAGAACUUAUUUUACAAGAGCCUUAAGAUAUUUCAGUCACGUGUUUCCCUUCAUUUGUAUGUGAGAAUAGUUAUUGCAUGAGAAGUUAAACACUGUAGUGGAAAAAGUAAAAUCAGUGUCCACUGCUUACUGUGUUAGUGAUGUAAUUUGACUGCUGAACCAUGUCUGUUUGUAGGGUUCCAGGAUAGAAGUCACUGGUCAGCCACCUAUAACCGUGGUGCUGUAAUAAAUCCAUAAGGCCCCUGCGUUGGUUGCUGCAUUUCAUAAAGUGACUACUUGGAACUUGGUGUCAGAAUUAACGAACUGAAGUCUCUUCCUUCUUCAGUAAAAGAGGAAGAUAUCCAUACUCUGCUGGUGGAAUUGCUAGUGCAAGGGGUUCUACGAUGCUCUGUUUUAUUUAUAUUUCAAUAGAGGGGCAAUUUUUAAUUGCAAAAUACGUAUCCACAAUCUCAUUUCAUGGUGCAUACACCAUCUCAGGAGGUAUGCGCACCAGCUCACUGCUGUGUAUUUUAGAAGUGAGGAUCUCUGUCUUGGUGCUAACAUUUAUGUGUAUAUAUUUAUCUAUAUCUUGGUGCUAACAUGUAUAUGUAUAUAUUUGUAUAUAUGUUUGUCAGAUGCCUGCAAAGCAGCAAGUUGCAAACCAACAGUGACUAAUGAGUUGAAGAGCCAGAAAAGGUUAUCUGGAGCAAAGAGAAGUGUGUGAUAACUUCUUGGACUAAGAGGAUGCAAGGUGAAAGCCUGUGUGCAGUGAGUCAGUCCUGCACCAAACCUGAGCCAAGAGGUUCCGAGGGACGCGUAGGAACGGUCCAGUGGGGCCACGAGUGCAGGGCUGUGGGAGUGCGCAGUUCUGUCAGCUUUCAGGAACAAGGAACUCUCAAUCCAUAUUGAAGUCAAGGGUUAAACGUUUCAUCCAUAAAUUAGUGCUAGGAAUUAAGAAAGACUACUUGACAUCUGAAAUCGCAGGGAGGCUUUUUCCGUGUAAUAAAAAAGCCUCUUCAAAUUAUUUAAAGCAUGCUUCUCUUGCAUUUUAAAACUGGGGGAAGCUGUGCAAGUGAGAUGGGCCAGUUUUUGGUCUUGGUUAGUGAUAACUUAGUUCAUGCAAAGGACAGCAGGAUUUGUCUCUUUUUCCUGCCGUGGCUUUAAAAGGAGUUAGAUCCUGGUUUAGGUUGCAAAGAAAAUGCUUCCAGUUGCCAUUUGCAUGAAUCCUACUCUGAAUCUCAGGUAUAAAAUCAGGUCAUUUGGUCAUCUUGAAGCCUGUAAGUUAGCUUACCGACAAGCUCUAGGCAGUGGGACUCAAGCAUAUCUUCAACAUCAUUGCUCGAGCAGUGCCUUGAGACCCAUAGAGGCAGUGAAUUCACAUUUGUGUUUGCUCCUUGGAUGACACAGGCCUGAAACCUCAACGCUGAUUUGCUAGUGUAACAAUGAGGACAAAACGAACCUCUCCUUUGCCUGGGUGUCUGGGGGCGGUUCAAAAACUCCAAACAGCGUGGAAUUCACUUGGGAAGCUCAAAGUUUGUAAAGCAGCUCCCUUACUUGUUGCGAAGCCCUUGGUCUGCCUCACGCUACAUUGCAUUACAUGUUAACGCAGGCUUUACAUUAUAUAUUAACGCAGAUUUGUCCUCAGAUACCCUACUGUGGAGAAGGCCAUUUUAAAAUCUUUAAUAGGGCAUUAGAGCAAUUUGCCUGUGAUUUAGUUUUAAGUGGGCAAGGAGAGUGGUGACAAACGAAGCUGGGAGGCCCUAAAAUUCUUUGAAUAUUCCAUGUUUUCCUGGAACUGUUGGGAAAAGGCUGCCAGAAAGGUCUUGGCAGGUUUUCUAGGUGGCUGGCCAAGUCUGAAGCAAAUGUGGAUAGUUAAUAGGCUAAUGCAGCUCUGGUUCCAAGUCCGUACGUAUAUAACAUACGUUUUUAUUUAAGAAAUCCCACUGCAUGGAGGAGCAAAUGUAGUGCUAAUAUAUCUUCCUGAAAGAAAACAGCAAGGGAAAAAACACUGUCAUCUUGUAAUGAUAAAAUAAGGGAUCUUUUGCCCUUACUUUUUAGGGACUUGAAUUGUCAGUUGAAGAAGAGACGACAUAGGAAAUUAAAUCAGUAGACAGGCAGUGGCUUUCCCAUGAGGGCCCCAUAUUAAUCAGGAAUGGCUUAUAUAGCAAUAGUUUGCAUCUAAGAAAAAAGGCAGAAGUUGCUCAAAGAAUGGAUUUCCGUUGCUGGAUUGACUUUUUGUUGUUUCCAUGCAAGCAAUUAAAAAGGGCAAUUAAGCAGGAAAGUGAUCAAAUAAUGACUCGGGACCUGCUGCUGUAGUUGGUUCCAUGUGGACAGCCAGUUCCAGCAUGAGGCCACCUUUGUGGGUCAAAUUGUAGGAAUUAAGUGCUGCUAUUGAAUCAUCCCAGCUAUAGCCUGGUUGGGGAGGGGUUUCUCUGUGCACCGAGGUCAGAACCGUGGUUCUCUGUGGUCACAGGCACCCAGGGAAUAGGUGUUUACUGUCGUGACUGGCAGGAGUUGUUCCUGGGAAACACGAGUUCAGAUUUCUCUGAGAUGCCAGGUAAAUAACCUUUGUAAUUUUAAAAUUGUCUCCACUGUGAGGGAUUCUUGUUUGUAUUCAGCUCAUGGGGCCUGUCUUGUUUUAUUAUUAAUGGGGUGAAGACUGUGCACAGCCUGUACUGUUACAGUGGAACAAUUUUUUUUUUUUUGAUUAAGACGUUGGUGCAGACCCUGAAGUUCUGCUACAGACUCCCUAUGGCAUCUUGGAUGAGUCACUUAUUUUUUUGGGGGUUUAUUCACUGUCUAUAAAGUAGAGGUCCGUGUUCCUCCUAAGGAGGAUUGUAAAGAGGAACUGAUCAUAUGUGAAUUGUUCAGAGACAGUCAUGUUGUAUGUCAUAUUGGAAUUGCAAGUGAGCAUGCUGUAUAUCUCUAUGAAGAAAUGUUUCCUAUGGCCUAUCUCCAUGCUGACAUAGACAUUCAUUAGCUGCACAGAGUUAAAAUUGACAAUAUUUGUAGUCUAAUACUACUUUUAUACAAACAAAAUCAACUUGAAAAGGUUAUUAUGACACUUCAAAAAUUCUAAUUAAAAGAUGUGAUUUAUUAUUGUAGUAAGUAAUCUGAUAUUCAGAUUGUCUUGUUUGUUUUCAUUUUGUAUCUCAUAAAAAUGUCUUUUUUUUUUUUACAUAAAAAGACUUUACACUGUCUUUUUGCAUUAUGAAAGCAACUAAAUUUAAGUUUAGGGUGUACUAGAGGCUGCACCGCAACGUUAAGUGAUGCAGAAGUGAGGACUGGCACCAGGACUGGGGAGACUGGCUGCUGCGCUUGCGUCCCGCUGCUAUUUCUGGCAUGCAGAGCCUGAGCGGUGCCUGACGGGCCAAACGGUAUCAGAUGAGGAUAACAAAAGUAAUCUGGACAUAGCAGCUUCCUUCCAAGGACCUCAAAACACUCCAAGGACAUGGGCGGCUGUACUUAAUAGUGUACAUCCUUCCUCCGUGGAACUCUCCAGGUUGUGACUAAGGUUACUGAUGUGCCAGGGGAGCCUCUCCUGCACCCCCAGAUGUGAUCAUGAAAGAAUAUGUUACUUCUGUGAGCAAGUCAUGCAUUUUUUCCUCGCUUGUUUUUGUGUUGUUCACCCAAUGCUCUGGCAACUGCAUUUGAUACAUGAGGGCAUGACAACCAAUUAAAAAAAAAAGAAAGAUAUUUUUCAAGAUGAAAGACGAGUCUUUGAUUUUCAUGGUAGUCAAAGUGACUGUGGAAGGCUGAGGCUACUGCAAUUGUUUUUAUUUAACACCUCUUCCCACAGGGUGGUCAAUGAAUGUCUAAUCUCCUGGACUGAAAUGUCUGGCACUUACAGAAUCAUUUAUUUGCUGGCCCUUGUACCUGUGUCGUGCUCACAGAGCUCCACCUACAGCAGUGUCUUAACAGUGGGCUGAUGGUGCAGUGGGUAUAAAUGGUGUGUUCUCUAAGGAGUGGAGGGGGGGAUAAAAGGAUGAACACAGGUUUUCUGUGCAAUGUGUGCUUCUGCUGUCCUUUAAGUAAGGGGUAGUCUCCAGCAGCAACUGUUGAAGGAUGGCUCGGGCUUCCGAGAUACAAAGUGUAGAUUUGCUCUGGCAGAAUUUAUUUCUUGCUGCCGACUCUCAGAGCGUGGCUACUCAUGUCAAACAGCCAACGUGCUGACCGCAACUUGGUGCUAUUUGCUGUUGUAUACGUACCUUUGGAAGAUGGGUGCCCUUUGGUGUCCUAUAUGGCAAAGAGGAGGAUAAGUCAGCUCCUGAGAGAAGUCUCCAAACAGCUCCCUCUGGCUACUACAAGAAGCUGAACCGAUGGCUUCUGUUCCCUGGAAGCUGUGUCUGAUGAUCGCAGGCCAUUAUAUACUUCUCACUUGACUGCCCUGCUGGUAACUCCACUUUUAAGAUGAAUAUUUUAAGAUGAAUUAUGCAAGAAAUGCUGUGAAGCAUCAGACCCGAGGACCGGGGGAAGAGUCCUCGCUCGGUCUAUGGACUCAUUUCUGGAUAAAGUCUGAGACUCACCUGGAUUCCAGCUUCUCCGGAAAGGACAAAAAGUGGAAAGGAUCAAAAAAAAAAACAAUUGGUGGACUUUGGUUUUCCUGUGCAUGCGUGCUUGUAUCAUGUCUGAACUUGCAAAGAGUAUACUUGGUUAUUCACAAGGAAUCCAGUAAAUGGCGAAUCUGUAAAUCA